AUUUUUUUGGAGAGUUUGAUUCUGGCUCAGAACGAACGUUGGCGGCGUGGUUAAGGCAUGCAAGUCGAGCGAUUUUAUUGAGUCUUGAGGCCGCAAGGCCGAGAGACUUGAUUUAAUAGCGGCAAAAGGGUGAGGAAUACGUGGGUAAUCUACCUUCGGGACGGGGAUAACACUCCGAAAGGAGUGCUAAUACCGGGUAAGACCACGGCUCCGCAUGGAGCUGCGGUAAAAGAUGGGGACCGUAAGGCCUAUCGUCUGAAGAGGAGCCCAUGUCCUAUCAGCUAGUUGGCGGGGUAACGGCCCACCAAGGCUUUUGACGGGUAGCUGGUCUGAGAGGAUGGUCAGCCACAUUGGGACUGAGACACUGCCCAGACUCCUACGGGAGGCU
This 388-nucleotide ribosomal RNA is filed under the name Candidatus Omnitrophica bacterium CG1_02_40_15. RNAcentral's name for it is "bacterial SSU rRNA". It matches the Rfam family "Bacterial small subunit ribosomal RNA", at positions 1 to 350 of the family's 1533-position model. Lineage: Bacteria; Pseudomonadati; Candidatus Omnitrophota. The record is from RNAcentral.